AAGCGUAAUAGCUCACUGGUCGAGUCGGCCUGCGCGGAAGAUGUAACGGGGCUAAACCAUGCACCGAAGCUGCGGCAGCGAACGUAUCACCCAAGACAACUUUACGGAGUUGACGAUUGACGGAGCGAAGCGACGUCAAAGCGUUCAUUAAAGUCGAGUUGGCUUAGGGAUACGUUCGUUGGGUAGGGGAGCGUUCUGUAAGCCUGUGAAGGUGUGUCGUGAGGCAUGCUGGAGGUAUCAGAAGUGCGAAUGCUGACAUAAGUAACGAUAAAGCGGGUGAAAAGCCCGCUCGCCGGAAGACCAAGGGUUCCUGUCCAACGUUAAUCGGGGCAGGGUGAGUCGACCCCUAAGGCGAGGCCGAAAGGCGUAGUCGAUGGGAAACGGGUUAAUAUUCCCGUACUUGGUGUUACUGCGAAGGGGGGACGGAGAAGGCUAUGUUGGCCGGGCGACGGUUGUCCCGGUUUAAGCGUGUAGGUGUGUGUUCCAGGUAAAUCCGGUUCACUUUAACACUGAGGCGUGACGACGAGGCACUACGGUGCUGAAGCAACAAAUGCCCUGCUUCCAGGAAAAGCCUCUAAGCAUCAGGUAACAUCAAAUCGUACCCCAAACCGACACAGGUGGUCAGGUAGAGAAUACCAAGGCGCUUGAGAGAACUCGGGUGAAGGAACUAGGCAAAAUGGUGCCGUAACUUCGGGAGAAGGCACGCUGACACGUAGGUGAAGUGAUUUACUCAUGGAGCUGAAGUCAGUCGAAGAUACCAGCUGGCUGCAACUGUUUAUUAAAAACACAGCACUGUGCAAACACGAAAGUGGACGUAUACGGUGUGACGCCUGCCCGGUGCCGGAAGGUUAAUUGAUGGGGUCAGCGCAAGCGAAGCUCCUGAUCGAAGCCCCGGUAAACGGCGGCCGUAACUAUAACGGUCCUAAGGUAGCGAAAUUCCUUGUCGGGUAAGUUCCGACCUGCACGAAUGGCGUAAUGAUGGCCAGGCUGUCUCCACCCGAGACUCAGUGAAAUUGAACUCGCUGUGAAGAUGCAGUGUACCCGCGGCAAGACGGAAAGACCCCGUGAACCUUUACUAUAGCUUGACACUGAACAUUGAGCCUUGAUGUGUAGGAUAGGUGGGAGGCUUUGAAGUGUGGACGCCAGUCUGCAUGGAGCCGACCUUGAAAUACCACCCUUUAAUGUUUGAUGUUCUAACGUGGACCCGUUACCCGGGUUGCGGACAGUGUCUGGUGGGUAGUUUGACUGGGGCGGUCUCCUCCUAAAGAGUAACGGAGGAGCACGAAGGUUGGCUAAUCCUGGUCGGACAUCAGGAGGUUAGUGCAAUGGCAUAAGCCAGCUUGACUGCGAGCGUGACGGCGCGAGCAGGUGCGAAAGCAGGUCAUAGUGAUCCGGUGGUUCUGAAUGGAAGGGCCAUCGCUCAACGGAUAAAAGGUACUCCGGGGAUAACAGGCUGAUACCGCCCAAGAGUUCAUAUCGACGGCGGUGUUUGGCACCUCGAUGUCGGCUCAUCACAUCCUGGGGCUGAAGUAGGUCCCAAGGGUAUGGCUGUUCGCCAUUUAAAGUGGUACGCGAGCUGGGUUUAGAACGUCGUGAGACAGUUCGGUCCCUAUCUGCCGUGGGCGCUGGAGAACUGAGGGGGGCUGCUCCUAGUACGAGAGGACCGGAGUGGACGCAUCACUGGUGUUCGGGUUGUCAUGCCAAUGGCACUGCCCGGUAGCUAAAUGCGGAAGAGAUAAGUGCUGAAAGCAUCUAAGCACGAAACUUGCCCCGAGAUGAGUUCUCCCUGAGACUUAGAGUCUCCUGAAGGAACGUUGAAGACGACGACGUUGAUAGGCCGGGUGUGUAAGCGCAGCGAUGCGUUGAGCUAACCGGUACUAAUGAACCGUGAGGCUUAACC
Molecule: ribosomal RNA, 1900 nt
Filed under: Salmonella enterica subsp. enterica serovar Heidelberg
Lineage: Bacteria; Pseudomonadati; Pseudomonadota; Gammaproteobacteria; Enterobacterales; Enterobacteriaceae
Description: bacterial LSU rRNA
Rfam family: Bacterial large subunit ribosomal RNA
Source: RNAcentral